RNAcentral lists this non-coding RNA (30 nucleotides) under Mus musculus (house mouse). Lineage: Eukaryota; Metazoa; Chordata; Mammalia; Rodentia; Muridae. The record is from RNAcentral.
UCAAUCCAUGGUUACCUUCCAUACUCCUGU